AUACAAGUUAAUUUUAGUUAAAAUGAUAUGAGGAAAAAGCACGAAAAAUAUAACCUGUUAACAAGGCACUCCAAUAUACAGAGGAAGAGCGUCAGACACAUAAUGUUGCUUGUAAAUCCUACCAAAACCGUUACUGUACCAUAUACAAUUUGGAAUAUCAUGACAUCAUGCGGCUUAUUGCUUAUUGCUUACAGCUGAUUAGGUCUAUUAAAUUAUGCGAUAUGGAGUCAAUGUCGUCACUAAAAUACUAGACCUGUCGGAUUCUGUAUCUGAUGUUUUUUUUCGCAUUUCAUACGAAUUACUAGUGCGAUGGAUGUUAAAAAACUCAUGGAUGAAAUCGAAAUUUAUUUCACAAAAUGUAUGCGAUAAAAAGAAGGAAAUUAUUUUUAAUCCAUUUAAAUGUGGGCUUAAAAUUUCGAAUUUAGAUAAAAAAAGACUUAAAUGGAAAGUAAUAUUAACGGGAAGUUUAACCAAAUAUGCACCUAUCCAAGAAGAAAUGUUUAUGCAAGGCGAAUAUAUGUUACAACCUCUCUAAUGACAAAUGAAGAGUGAUUGUGAAAAUAAAAAAGAACAAUUUAAUUUACAAAGGAAAAAUAUAUAACUGAACGACAUUACUGAGGAUAUUUUCUUAAUAAAAUAGAAUACUAGAACAAGAAAAGUCACCAAUGUUGCAAAUUUGAUUGUCCAUUAAACUAGGGUUCUAUCAAUUCUGGAAAAUAGUUUCAUCGCUUAUUAUGGAUUGUAGAAAGUAAAAAUCUUUUCUAUUAUAAAAAGUAUAA
Molecule: long non-coding RNA, 779 nt
Organism: Teleopsis dalmanni
Lineage: Eukaryota; Metazoa; Arthropoda; Insecta; Diptera; Diopsidae
Exons: 3
Source: RefSeq, a predicted model, not a curated record